Molecule: ribosomal RNA, 612 nt
Filed under: uncultured fungus
Lineage: Eukaryota; Fungi
Description: eukaryotic LSU rRNA
Rfam family: 5.8S ribosomal RNA (bases 253-406)
Source: RNAcentral
UCCGUAGGUGAACCUGCGGAAGGAUCAUUAAAAAAAAGGAUGUGCUCUGCGCAUAACUCCUCUCACACCCUCCUGCCCGUAAAAAGGCACGGGGGUUGAAUGAGUCCCUUAACCCUUUGUGAACUUUAUAUCUUAUGCUUCGGCAGCACGCCCUUCUCACCAAGGGUUGGUAAGGCUGCCGAUAGCCCAUUUUAAACUAUUUUAUUUCAAAAUCAUGAAGUCUGAUUACUGUUAAAUUUAAAAACAAGUUAAAACUUUCAGCAACGGAUCUCUUGGUUCUCGCAUCGAUGAAGAACGCAGCGAAACGCGAUAGGUAAUGUGAAUUGCAGAAUUCCGUGAAUCAUCGAAUCUUUGAACGCACAUUGCGCCUUCUGGUAUUCCGGUAGGCAUGCCUGUUUGAGCGUCAGCAAAACACCCUCAGUCUGAGUAUUUUUGUAUUCAGCACUGGUUUUGGGCAGCGGAUGCCGGUGGUUAUUACUUUCCACCUGCACCCUCCCUAAAAUUGCUGCACGACCGCAAGCCCCUUCUAGCCAGGUCAAUGGAGUGGUGUUACAAUCUUCCAGAAAGCCUGCUGGGUAAACUGGCUUUGGCGGGCGGUUAAUCCUAAUGGCC